ACCUUUGUUCAUCUCCCCCAGACCAUUUUCGAUUCUUUUACAAAGUGAGACCGUAACGUUACCCGCUUCUUCUCACGGACUCGCACCGUAACCAGAAAUAUCUACACACGGCAAGGGCUGCCGAAGGGAGAUGCCAACCGUUACCGCUUCGCGACAACGCCCCGAGAUCCGGAGAUGUCAAGAAAUAUCCGGGGUCAUCUACGAGACGACCGGCGGCGUUUUAUACGGCUCUGCUUAGCAUUAGCUAUGUUGGUGAACGUUAAUUCAUUGCAGUUUAUGAGAUUUGUCCAGUUCUAAUUGUGUGGGCCACAUUCCCACUUACCGUUGGGCAUCCGUUGAGCAUGUUGUGUUUGUUACAACGAGGCGAGGCAGCUAAUGCGAGCCCGUCUCUUUUACCAUAAUAGCUCCGCACGGCGAAAUAUCUCCAAUCGAUCGGUAUCGGAGGCAAGGGCUGCGAAGGGGGAGGCCAAGGCUCACCGUAACGCGGGUGCUACACAACACAUUCCGGGAGACGUCGGGAGAAUCUCCGGGUUCAUCUUUUUUGGAGAUCUGCGGUGUUCAAAACAGCAGGCGGGCGCCUUGGUCUUCCCCAGACAUUUGACAAGAAAUGUCCAGACGUACUAAGGGAGGAGCUGGGUAAGGAAGGUGCCAGGCGCAACCGUCACUGAAGAUGCUUCCCGAUCGCGACAUCAGUGCAUCACCAAGCCAAGCAGGAGGCGUCAAGCCUAUACGUACGGUGUUUUUCAGAACUCAGAGUAAAGUGGUUUUAGGACCCUUAUUACAUUAAUCCAUUAUAUUCUGCAUGGCUGCUGUUAUUAUUUACACCCCUGGGUCAUAAGGAGUCAUUAUGACCCUUUUAAAUAUGUUUGGAAAUAGAUGGUUUUUAGUAUGCUUUGAUUUAAAUGUUUUAAUCAUAUCAUGCCAUUCCAGUACAGGAGUGGCUAACAGUAAAUUGAUGUUUUCAUUUUUUGUCCUUUGAAUAUGUCCUAUGUGAAUAUAUGUCUUUUGUGUUUUUACUUAGCCUAAAGUUUCCAAAAACUGUGUCCAAAAUUACAAUGUAGUAUAUCUAUCUAAUAGUAUACUGAUAUUGAUCAUUUAUGGUGUAACGUUAGAAGGUUACUUGCUGUAAUUUUCCUUCUUAGAUUCGUCCUUAAGCAAUUUGGCUAAUGUACGAUUUACGAGCCAAUAUCAAUCUUAUAAAUGUUUACUACAACUGUACUGGUUAAAAGACAACAACGUCCUCUGGUGUCUACGUGGCAUACUGCACCGGUACCGUAGUUAUUCCAUCAGCGCCCGUAAAAACUAGUAUUUUCUCAUUUCCUCACUUGCUCUCACGUUGCCAUUCUAGAUCUGUGUUAACCCGUUGAAAGCUUUGUGGGAAUGUUUGCCUAGUCUACAUAGAAAUGUCAAUAAUGCUUUACAGUCUUAUAGAAAUGUGAAUAAUGCUUUACGAAUAAUGUGGAUUUUCCUGUAGCCAAUAGCCUUUCUAAAUAUAUCAUGAUAUACAUAGUAUAUAUACACUGCUCACCGACUAGUGACGUAUGGUAUCUACAUAACGUGACGUCACAGAAGCAGUGGAUUGUUCAUUCUUUGACAAAGACUGGAGCUGUUCAGUCGAAAAUUUGUCCAAUUUUCCAAUUUUCGCGUUGGAAAUUAAAUUUGAUAGGCACAGUAAUAGUAUAUAUUGAUUAGUUUAUUGAUUUCGUCAUGUAUUUUUCCAUGUAUUCUUUCUUGAAGGUCUUUUGGUCUCACGUAGGCUUUAUAUUCCGUGUAUUUUGUGUCUUUUCUAGUACAAGACUGGCCAACUUGACAUAGAAAGCCACAUUAUCCAAGAAAAUGAUCUCAAAAGACUCUUUUUAUCCUGUAGCUCAAUUCAAUUCAAUUUUAAUGGGAAUCAACUGACAGUGUACAAUGUUGAAGGCAUGUACACUGAAUUGUGUUGAUUUUACACAAACAUCAACAAUACAUAUUAAAAUUGACAAGUUAACAGUUGCCAUAUAAUUGUUAUAGUUGUAAUCUAUUUCCAUGAUCAAGGUUUGAAAGUGUCAAGUACAACCUGGGCAACAAAUAGUACACUGUGUUCCUCGAAUAUGUCAAACAAAUGCUCAAAUAAACCGUUUUAAACCA
Branchiostoma floridae (Florida lancelet) is the source of this 2127-nucleotide long non-coding RNA. RefSeq lists it as uncharacterized. The record is from RefSeq and is a predicted model, not a curated record. NCBI's taxonomy places the organism in Eukaryota, Metazoa, Chordata, Leptocardii, Amphioxiformes, Branchiostomatidae. The transcript has 2 exons.